This 253-nucleotide ribosomal RNA is filed under the name uncultured bacterium. RNAcentral's name for it is "partial 16S ribosomal RNA". It matches the Rfam family "Bacterial small subunit ribosomal RNA", at positions 524 to 776 of the family's 1533-position model. The record is from RNAcentral.
UACGUAGGGUGCAAGCGUUGUUCGGAAUUAUUGGGCGUAAAGCGCGCGUAGGCGGGUUUGUAAGUCGAUUGUGAAAGCCCUGGGCUUAACCUGGGAAUUGCAGUCGAAACUGCAAAUCUUGAAUACCUAAGAGGAUGGCGGAAUUCCCGGUGUAGUAGUGAAAUACGUAGAUAUCGGGAGGAACACCUGAGGCGAAGGCGGCUGUCUGGUGGUGUAUUGACGCUGAGGCGCGAAAGCGUGGGGAGCAAACAGG